UACGUAGGGGGCAAGCGUUGUUCGGAUUUACUGGGCGUAAAGGGCGCGUAGGCGGCGUGACAAGUCACUUGUGAAAUCUCCGGGCUUAACUCGGAACGGUCAAGUGAUACUGUUGUGCUAGAGUGCAGAAAGGGCAACUGGAAUUCUUGGUGUAGCGGUGAAAUGCGUAGAUAUCAAGAGGAACACCUGAGGCGAAGGCGAGUUGCUAGGCUGACACUGACGCUGAGGCGCGAAAGCUAGGGGAGCGAACGGG
This 253-nucleotide ribosomal RNA is filed under the name uncultured bacterium. RNAcentral describes it as "partial 16S ribosomal RNA". It matches the Rfam family "Bacterial small subunit ribosomal RNA", at positions 524 to 776 of the family's 1533-position model. The record is from RNAcentral.